This 796-nucleotide small RNA is filed under the name Pongo abelii (Sumatran orangutan). Its description in RNAcentral is "processed transcript". Lineage: Eukaryota; Metazoa; Chordata; Mammalia; Primates; Hominidae. The record is from RNAcentral.
CUCAGAGCAUCUGCAGGAACCACACCACACUCUGGAGGCCAUGCUGCGGCCCAAAGUCACCACGCUGCCAGGUCACAUCCAGGCUGUGUAUGUGCAGAACGUGGUCAAGCUGUACGCCUCCAUCCUGCAGCAGAAGGAGCAGGCCGGGGAGGCAGAGGGUGCCCAGGCCGUCACCCAGCUCAUGGUGGACCGGCUGCCCCAGUUUGUGCAGAGCGCAGACCUGGAGGUGCAGGAGCGGGCGUCCUGCAUCCUGCAGCUGGUCAAGCACAUCCAGAAGCUUCAGGCCAAGGACGUGCCUGUGGCAGAGGAGGUCAGCGCUCUCUUUGCUGGGGAGCUGAACCCCGUGGCCCCCAAGGCCCAGAAGAAGGUUCCAGUCCCCGAAGGGCGCGUGCUCGGUCACACACUGCCUUGUGUGACCCUCCUGUCCGGCGCAGCCUGGACCUGGAUGCCUGGAUCAAUGAGCCACUCUCGGACAGCGAGUCAGAGGACGAGAGGCCCAGGGCCGUCUUCCACGAGGAGGAGCAGCGGCGCCCCAAGCACCGGCCGUCUGAGGCGGACGAGGAAGAGCUGGCUCGGCGCCGAGAGGCCCGGAAGCAGGAGCAGGCCAACAACCCCUUCUACAUCAAGAGCUCACCGUCGCCACAGAAGCGGUACCAGGACACCCCGGGCGUGGAGCACAUUCCUGUGGUGCAGAUUGACCUCUCCGUCCCGUUGAAGGUUCCAGGGCUGCCCAUGUCGGACCAGUACGUGAAGCUGGAGGAGGAGCGGCGGCACCGGCAGAAGCUGGAGAAGGACA